This 319-nucleotide ribosomal RNA is filed under the name uncultured eukaryote. RNAcentral describes it as "partial 18S ribosomal RNA". It matches the Rfam family "Eukaryotic small subunit ribosomal RNA", at positions 1470 to 1796 of the family's 1831-position model. The record is from RNAcentral.
CCCUUAGAUGUUCUGGGCAGCACGCGCGCUACAAUGGUCUUCGCAAACGGAUGCAUUCUCGAAGGAGGAUGCCAAUCUUGGAAUCUAUGCCUUGGUCGGGACAGUUGCUUGCAAUUUUUCGACUCGAACCAGGAAUUCCUUGUAAUCGUGAUUCAUCACAUCACGAUGAAUACGUCCCUGCCCUUUGUACACACCGCCCGUCGCUCCUACCGAUCGAAGAGUUAGGUGAAUUGUUUUGAUCGAUAAGAUUUGACUAUGGUCAACUCUCGUUGUGAAAUUCUGUGAAUCUGACUGUUUAGAGGAAGGAGAAGUCGUAACA